CUACGGGACGCUGCAGUGAGGAAUAUUGCACAAUGGGGGGAACCCUGAUGCAGCAACGCCGCGUGGAGGAUGACGCAUUUCGGUGUGUAAACUCCUUUUAUAUGUCAAGAAAAUGACGGUAGCAUAUGAAUAAGCACCGGCUAACUCCGUGCCAGCAGCCGCGGUAAUACGGAGGGUGCAAGCGUUACUCGGAAUCACUGGGCGUAAAGGACGCGUAGGCGGGUUGGAAAGUCAGGUGUGAAAUCCUACAGCUUAACUGUAGAACUGCACUUGAAACUUCUAAUCUAGAGUAUGGGAGGGGGAGAUGGAAUUAGUGGUGUAGGGGUAAAAUCCGUAGAUAUUACUAGGAAUACCUAAAGCGAAGGCGAUCUCCUGGAACAUUACUGACGCUAAGGCGUGAAAGCGUGGGGAGCAAACAGGAUUAGAUAACCUAGUAGUC
RNAcentral lists this ribosomal RNA (439 nucleotides) under uncultured bacterium. RNAcentral's name for it is "partial 16S ribosomal RNA". It matches the Rfam family "Bacterial small subunit ribosomal RNA", at positions 339 to 795 of the family's 1533-position model. The record is from RNAcentral.